This 253-nucleotide ribosomal RNA is filed under the name uncultured bacterium. RNAcentral describes it as "partial 16S ribosomal RNA". It matches the Rfam family "Bacterial small subunit ribosomal RNA", at positions 524 to 776 of the family's 1533-position model. The record is from RNAcentral.
UGCGAAGGGGGCUAGCGUUGCUCGGAAUCACUGGGCGUAAAGGGUGCGUAGGCGGGUCUUUAAGGCAGGGGUGAAAUCCUGGAGCUCAACUCCAGAACUGCCUUUGAUACUGAGGAUCUUGAGUUCGGGAGAGGUGAGUGGAACUGCGAGUGUAGAGGUGAAAUUCGUAGAUAUUCGCAAGUACACCAGUGGCGAAGGCGGCUCACUGGCCCGAUACUGACGCUGAGACGCGAAAGCGUGGGGAGCGAACAGG